UGGGGAAUCUUAGACAAUGGGCGAAAGCCUGAUCUAGCCAUGCCGCGUGAGUGAUGAAGGCCCUAGGGUCGUAAAGCUCUUUCGCCAGGGAUGAUAAUGACAGUACCUGGUAAAGAAACCCCGGCUAACUCCGUGCCAGCAGCCGCGGUAAUACGGAGGGGGUUAGCGUUGUUCGGAAUUACUGGGCGUAAAGCGCGCGUAGGCGGAUUGGAAAGUUGGGGGUGAAAUCCCAGGGCUCAACCCUGGAACUGCCUCCAAAACUACCAGUCUAGAGUUCGAGAGAGGUGAGUGGAAUUCCGAGUGUAGAGGUGAAAUUCGUAGAUAUUCGGAGGAACACCAGUGGCGAAGGCGGCUCACUGGCUCGAUACUGACGCUGAGGUGCGAAAGUGUGGGGAGCAAACAGGAUUAGAUACCCCUGUAGUCC
Molecule: ribosomal RNA, 424 nt
Filed under: uncultured prokaryote
Description: bacterial SSU rRNA
Rfam family: Bacterial small subunit ribosomal RNA
Source: RNAcentral